RNAcentral lists this ribosomal RNA (603 nucleotides) under Plectus sp. 298Ple1. Its description in RNAcentral is "bacterial SSU rRNA". It matches the Rfam family "Eukaryotic small subunit ribosomal RNA", at positions 1224 to 1831 of the family's 1831-position model. The record is from RNAcentral. Lineage: Eukaryota; Metazoa; Nematoda; Chromadorea; Plectida; Plectidae.
CCGAACACCGUAAGGAUUGACAGAUUGAGAGCUCUUUCUUGAUUCGGUGGUUGGUGGUGCAUGGCCGUUCUUAGUUGGUGGAGCGAUUUGUCUGGUUUAUUCCGAUAACGAACGAGACUCUGGCCUACUAAAUAGAGACGGGAUUAUUACUGUCCCGGAUUCUUCUUAGAGGGACAAGUGGUUUUCAGCCACACGAAAUUGAGCAAUAACAGGUCUGUGAUGCCCUUAGAUGUCCGGGGCUGCACGCGCGCUACACUGAAGGAAUCAGCGUGCUAAAACCAUUGUCGAAAGGCAUUGGUAAACCCAUCAAAAUCCUACGUGAUUGGGAUCGGGAAUUGCAAUUAUUUCCCUUGAACGAGGAAUUCCCAGUAAGUGUGGGUCAUAAGCUCGCGUUGAUUACGUCCCUGCCCUUUGUACACACCGCCCGUCGCUGCCCGGGACUGAGCCGUUUCGAGAAAAGCGGGGACCGCCGCUUUCGGGGCUUUCGGGCCUUGGCUGUGGUGGAAACCGCUUUAAUCGCAGUGGCUUGAAACCGGGCAAAAGUCGUAACAAGGUUUUCCGUAGGUGNAACCUGCGGGAAGGGAUCAUUAUCCGAGNCAAAAA